RNAcentral lists this ribosomal RNA (474 nucleotides) under uncultured bacterium. RNAcentral's name for it is "bacterial SSU rRNA". It matches the Rfam family "Bacterial small subunit ribosomal RNA", at positions 28 to 485 of the family's 1533-position model. The record is from RNAcentral.
AAUCAACGCUGGCGGCGUGCCUAACACAUGCAAGUCGAACGCGGUUACCCCGCAAGGGGUAACUGAGUGGCGAACGGGUGAGUAACGCGUGGGUGACCUACCUUCGAGUGGGGGAUAACGUCCCGAAAGGGACGCUAAUACCGCAUAACAUCCUGCCUUUGAACAGGCGGUGAUCAAAGCCGGGGAUCGCGAGACCUGGCGCUUGAUGAGGGGCCCGCGUCUGAUUAGCUAGUUGGUGAGGAAUGGCCCACCAAGGCAACGAUCAGUAUCCGGCCUGAGAGGGCGGACGGACACACUGGGACUGAGACACGGCCCAGACUCCUACGGGAGGCAGCAGUGGGGAAUUGUUCGCAAUGGGCGCAAGCCUGACGACGCAACGCCGCGUGGAGGAUGAAGGUCUUCGGAUGUAAACUCCUGUUGCUCGGGACGAAUGGCUCCGGCCUAAUACGUCGGAGUGUGACGGGUACCGGGUGA